Molecule: ribosomal RNA, 558 nt
Filed under: Gammarus nekkensis
Lineage: Eukaryota; Metazoa; Arthropoda; Malacostraca; Amphipoda; Gammaridae
Description: partial large subunit ribosomal RNA
Source: RNAcentral
CUUACAAUGAAAAUAACCUUAGGGCUUUCUUAUAAUGUAAAUUAAGGGCAAGGAGAAAGAAAAUAUGUUAGUUGUACCUUUUGUAUCAGGGGAGUUUAAAAUUGUAAUAAUAUUUUAAUCGAUUAAAGCGGAUCUUUUUAUUAAAUUUUUAGUUGGAUUUAAAGAUUGUAAAGAAUUAAGAGGUGAAAAGUGUACGGCGCUUAGGGUAUCUAGUUGUUUUAUGUAUAAAUGGUUAAGCUUUUAUAGAUCUAAAAUAAUAGUAAGGUGUUAAGAGCUAGGCUUUAGAUUAGCUACGUUGGUAAAUUGUUUUAAGUAAUUUAUUUAGAUUUUUUAGGUUAGAGUGUAUAGACAAUGCUUAAAUAUUUAGAUAAGCAGCAGUAAUGAAUUUAUUGAAUAAUAAAAGAAGAUUGAAAAUAACUCAAGUAUGUUAGAAAGUUUAGCAAAAACAUUUCUAUUUGUAAAAAUAAAAGUAAAACCUGCCCGGUGCUGAGUUAACGGCUGCGGUAUUUUGACCGUGCUAAGGUAGCAUAAUCAUUUGCUUUUUAAUUGGUAGCUGGA